RNAcentral lists this transfer RNA (72 nucleotides) under Saccoglossus kowalevskii. RNAcentral describes it as "tRNA-Pro". It matches the Rfam family "tRNA". From Rfam's summary of the family: Transfer RNA (tRNA) molecules are approximately 80 nucleotides in length. Their secondary structure includes four short double-helical elements and three loops (D, anti-codon, and T loops). Further hydrogen bonds mediate the characteristic L-shaped molecular structure. tRNAs have two regions of fundamental functional importance: the anti-codon, which is responsible for specific mRNA codon recognition, and the 3' end, to which the tRNAs corresponding amino acid is attached (by aminoacyl-tRNA synthetases). tRNAs cope with the degeneracy of the genetic code in two manners: having more than one tRNA (with a specific anti-codon) for a particular amino acid; and 'wobble' base-pairing, i.e. permitting non-standard base-pairing at the 3rd anti-codon position. Lineage: Eukaryota; Metazoa; Hemichordata; Enteropneusta; Harrimaniidae. The record is from RNAcentral.
GGCUUGGUGGUCUAGGGGUAUGAUUCUCGCUUCGGGUGCGAGAGGUCACGGGUUCGAUUCCCGUCCAAGCCC